RNAcentral lists this ribosomal RNA (224 nucleotides) under uncultured Smithella sp. RNAcentral describes it as "partial 16S ribosomal RNA". It matches the Rfam family "Bacterial small subunit ribosomal RNA", at positions 1159 to 1382 of the family's 1533-position model. Lineage: Bacteria; Pseudomonadati; Thermodesulfobacteriota; Syntrophia; Syntrophales; Smithellaceae. The record is from RNAcentral.
UAAAACGGAGGAAGGUGGGAUGACGUCAAGUCCUCAUGGCCUUUAUGCUUAGGGCUACACACGUGCUACAAUGGGUGGUACAAAGAGAAGCCAACUCGCGAGAGCGCGCCAAUCUCAAAAAGCCAUCCUCAGUUCGGAUUGGAGUCUGCAACUCGACUCCAUGAAGUUGGAAUCGCUAGUAAUCGCGGAUCAGCAUGCCCGCGGUCGAAUACGUUCCGGGCCUU